RNAcentral lists this ribosomal RNA (542 nucleotides) under uncultured bacterium. RNAcentral's name for it is "bacterial SSU rRNA". It matches the Rfam family "Bacterial small subunit ribosomal RNA", at positions 777 to 1319 of the family's 1533-position model. The record is from RNAcentral.
AAUAGAUACCCGGGUAGUCCAUGCCGUAAACGAUGUCUACUAGCCGUUGGGGCCUUUGAGGCUUUAGUGGCGCAGCUAACGCGAUAAGUAGACCGCCUGGGGAGUACGGUCGCAAGACUAAAACUCAAAUGAAUUGACGGGGGCCCGCACAAGCGGUGGAGCAUGUGGUUUAAUUCGAUGCAACGCGAAGAACCUUACCUGGUCUUGACAUAGUAAGAACUUUCCAGAGAUGGAUUGGUGCCUUCGGGAACUUACAUACAGGUGCUGCAUGGCUGUCGUCAGCUCGUGUCGUGAGAUGUUGGGUUAAGUCCCGCAACGAGCGCAACCCUUUUCCUAUUUGCCAGCGGGUUAAGCCGGGAACUUUAAGGAUACUGCCAGUGACAAACUGGAGGAAGGCGGGGACGACGUCAAGUCAUCAUGGCCCUUACGACCAGGGCUACACACGUGCUACAAUGGUCGGUACAAAGGGUUGCUACCUAGCGAUAGGAUGCUAAUCUCAAAAAGCCGAUCGUAGUCCGGAUUGGAGUCUACAACUCGACUCC